UAAUAUAAAUAUUAUUGUUAUUAUUAAUUAAAAGUAUUUUUUAUGUUAUUAUUUUAGUAUUGUUAUGAAUUUAUUUAUAUUAUUAUAGUUUAUUAUUACAGUGAUGGUUGAAUGAAAGAGUUGAAAAUUUUAUUUUUAAGGAGAAAAGUUUUUGUACCUUUUGUAUCAGGGUUUAUUAAAAAUUAUUAAUUUAUUUUUUUGUUCUCGAAUUGGAAAGAGUUAUUUGUUUAUGAUUUAUAUUGUUAUAUAAAUAUAUUGAAUUGAUAAGUGGUAAUGAAAUGUUAUUCGUUUUCUUGGAUAUCUAGUUUCUCAAGAUGGAAAUUUAAUUUUGGUUUUUUAUUAUAAUAUUUAUUAGUAUUUAAAUUUAUUUAUGUAUUAUAGGAAAUACUUAUGAUUCUGGGGAUAAGCUCGGAUUUAAAAUUUAGAUAUAUAAUAUCAUUGUUUUGGAAUAUGAGCUUUUAAUUAGCUAUUAUUUGUGAGUUUGUUAUAGGUCAAUUUAUUUAAUUAUUUAUAUGAUUAUAUUGAGUGUAUAUUGGGAUGUUAAAAUUAAUUUUUAUUUUAUGUAAUAAUGAUGUAAUUAGUAAAUGAUUUGAUUGUUUGAAUUAUGUUGAUGUUUAUUUAUUUUAAGGAAUUAGGCAAAAUAAUUGUUCGCCUGUUUAACAAAAACAUGUCUUCUUGAAAUGAUAUGAAGUCGUGCCUGCCCAAUGAGUAUUUGAAUGGCCGCGGUAUAUUGACCGUGCAAAGGUAGCAUAAUCAUUAGUCUCUUAAUUGGAGGCUGGAAUGAAUGGUUUGACGAAACAAUUACUGUCUCUUGAUAAUGAUUUGAAUUUUACUUUUGAGUUAAAAGGCUCAAAUGUUGAUAGGGGACGAGAAGACCCUAUAGAUCUUGAUAAUUUAUAUUAAUUUUUUUGUUUGGAUGGUAUUUAUUAAAUUUUAGUAUAUUGUAUUUGGUUGGGGUGACAAGAGAAUAUAAUAACUUCUUAUUAUUGAACUAUGAUGAUUGAUUAAUUGAUCCUAUAUUAUGGAAUAAAGAUAAAGAUACCUUAGGGAUAACAGCGUAAUGUUAUUGGAGAGUUCUUAUUGAUAAUAAAGAUUGCGACCUCGAUGUUGGAUUAAGAAAAUUAUUAGGUGCAGAAGCUUAAUUUAUUGGUCUGUUCGACCAUUAAAUUCUUACAUGAUCUGAGUUCAAACCGGCGUGAGCAAGGUUGGUUUCUAUCUCUAUUUAUUUUUAUAUAUUUUAGUACGGAAGGGAUUGAAUAUAUUAAAUGUUUUAUUGUUUAGAAUGAUAUUAAU
RNAcentral lists this ribosomal RNA (1293 nucleotides) under Teleogryllus emma (emma field cricket). RNAcentral's name for it is "16S ribosomal RNA". The stretch from base 861 to 1221 matches the Rfam family "Archaeal large subunit ribosomal RNA", at positions 2151 to 2715 of the family's 2987-position model. The record is from RNAcentral. Lineage: Eukaryota; Metazoa; Arthropoda; Insecta; Orthoptera; Gryllidae.